UUUAUGGAGAGUUUGAUCCUGGCUCAGGAUGAACGCUGGCGGCGUGCCUAAUACAUGCAAGUCGAGCGAACGGACGAGAAGCUUGCUUCUCUGAUGUUAGCGGCGGACGGGUGAGUAACACGUGGAUAACCUACCUAUAAGACUGGGAUAACUUCGGGAAACCGGAGCUAAUACCGGAUAAUAUUUUGAACCGCAUGGUUCAAAAGUGAAAGACGGUCUUGCUGUCACUUAUAGAUGGAUCCGCGCUGCAUUAGCUAGUUGGUAAGGUAACGGCUUACCAAGGCAACGAUGCAUAGCCGACCUGAGAGGGUGAUCGGCCACACUGGAACUGAGACACGGUCCAGACUCCUACGGGAGGCAGCAGUAGGGAAUCUUCCGCAAUGGGCGAAAGCCUGACGGAGCAACGCCGCGUGAGUGAUGAAGGUCUUCGGAUCGUAAAACUCUGUUAUUUAGGGAAAGAACAUAUGUGUAAGUAACUGUGCACAUCUUGACGGUACCUAAUCAGAAAGCCACGGCUAAACUACGUGCCAGCAGCCGCGUAAUACGUAGGUGGCAAGCGUUAUCCGGAAUUAUUGGGCGUAAAGCGCGCGUAGGCGGUUUUUUAAGUCUGAUGUGAAAGCCCACGGCUCAACCCGUGGAGGGUCAUUGGAAACUGGAAAACUUGAGUGCAGAAGAG
RNAcentral lists this ribosomal RNA (676 nucleotides) under Staphylococcus aureus. Its description in RNAcentral is "bacterial SSU rRNA". It matches the Rfam family "Bacterial small subunit ribosomal RNA", at positions 1 to 656 of the family's 1533-position model. Lineage: Bacteria; Bacillati; Bacillota; Bacilli; Caryophanales; Staphylococcaceae. The record is from RNAcentral.